This 33-nucleotide small RNA is filed under the name Arabidopsis thaliana (thale cress). Its description in RNAcentral is "ATSL124060". The record is from RNAcentral. Lineage: Eukaryota; Viridiplantae; Streptophyta; Magnoliopsida; Brassicales; Brassicaceae.
AAGUGUUAAUAAGUAGAACGGCAGGAAGUGUAA